Molecule: long non-coding RNA, 435 nt
Filed under: Phasianus colchicus (ring-necked pheasant)
Lineage: Eukaryota; Metazoa; Chordata; Aves; Galliformes; Phasianidae
Description: lncRNA (ENSPCLG00000001317.1)
Source: RNAcentral
UCUUUUACAGUUCUGCUUAUUCUCAUUCAAGGAGAUUGUGAUCAAACUGCAGGAAGUAAAGAGUGGCCUACUAGAGAUGAGAAAAUAGAAAGGCAUUCCCUGAGAGAAGACUGGUAUCGUGGUUGAAACAUGCUCACAAAAACAUUCUGCAUGACCAGGCAAAGAUGAAGUCAAGAGCAGCAACAAUAAGUUCGACUGAUGUAAAUGUCAGGUUGGACAGGGAGCCCCCACCUGGGCAGGGAGCCAGACCUCACUUACACUGCUUCUGUUGCCUGUCAAAUUGCAACAAUAGGAUCACAGUGAAGCAGCAUCCUCUCCAAACAGGGACCCCCUGCUGCAUAACAAGCCCACGUAUCCUUUUUCAGCAGUGAAAAGGUUAGUAUCCCUUAUUGUGUAUAUCAAGGGUCAAAAUGUAAAAUCAAGGCUCUUAUCCAC